CUGUUUGGCUAUGGGAGUUUUUUUUUUUUUUUUUUUAAAGACAGCAGCCUGUCAUUUCUGUGUGUCUCUGUAUGGGGCACGCGCUGGGCCGCCCGGAUUAUUGAAAUGUUUGCCUUGUCAACUUUGACUUUGGCUAGUUUUUGGACACUGGAUAUUAUACCGUUUCAUUUUGACAGAACCUAGCAAGCUACCAUUUGGAUUAAAAUACAUUUUACUGGACUGGACAUGGAUUGAAACUGGUCGCCGCUGGAUUAAGGCGUCGUUGACACACAUGUGAAAGAGUAGCUGUGAGAGGCCACAACUGAGUACAAACCAGACUUGAAAAGGAUUGUGGGAAACAAAGACUGCCAGGUGCCCCACUGAGUAAACAGAGAUGCUCAGUGAGGUCCUGUUAAACAGAUUAAGAAAGAUAGUAAAAGUCACCAAGCAUGAGGAAUCCCCUCUUCUCACAUGGAAGGCCCAGGGAAAUGUGGAAUCCACACACAGAACAACAAAGAAGCAGCGCAGACUCUUCCAGUCCCUCUGUUUUGACAUCUCCAGGCUGAAUGCCACGGCUGAGCUAAUGGCGUGAAAUGCCUUCUGUUGGCAGGUUUCUGGACAACAAAGCUGCUGGGACAAAUUUGAGUGCAACACCAUCAAAAGCGGGCAGGUUCACGAGGAGCUGUCUGUGCGUCUGGCUCCAUUCAUUUGGUAAUAUGUGCUCAAAUGUUGAGCGCUGUUUUUGAUUGGUUCUCUUGGUAGGAUUUGCUCUGCCUCUCGUCUGCCAGUGAAACCAGUGCACAUUUCUUUAAGCAAAUGUGUUGUUGU
Molecule: long non-coding RNA, 807 nt
Organism: Myripristis murdjan (pinecone soldierfish)
Lineage: Eukaryota; Metazoa; Chordata; Actinopteri; Holocentriformes; Holocentridae
Exons: 5
Source: RefSeq, a predicted model, not a curated record